Molecule: ribosomal RNA, 2873 nt
Filed under: human gut metagenome
Description: bacterial LSU rRNA
Rfam family: Bacterial large subunit ribosomal RNA
Source: RNAcentral
AGGGCGCAUGGCGGAUGCCUUGGCUCUCGGAGGCGAUGAAGGACGUGAUAAGCUGCGAUAAGCUUUGGGGAGGGGCAAAUGACCUUUGAUCCAGAGAUUUCCGAAUGGGACAACCCAAUAUCUUGAAGAGGUAUUAUCUUACUAUGUAAGAGGCUAACGCAGGGAACUGAAACAUCUUAGUACCUGCAGGAAAAGAAAAUAAACAAUGAUUCCCCCAGUAGUGGCGAGCGAACGGGGAACAGCCCAAACCAUCCAUGUUACGGCAUGGGUGGGGUUGUAGGACUACGCCGUUGCAUGAAGACAUCAGAGAAGAACUUUCUGGAAAGAAAGACCAUAGAGCAUGACAGUUGCGUAUUCGAAUGUUGUCGAAGCAUAGUAGUAUCCUGAGUAGCGCGGAGCACGAGGAAUUCUGCGUGAAUCUGCCGGGACCAUCCGGUAAGGCUAAAUACUCCCGAGAGACCGAUAGCGAACCAGUACCGUGAGGGAAAGGUGAAAAGCACUUCGAACAGAAGAGUGAAAUAGUUCCUGAAACCGUGCGCCUACAAGCGGUCGGAGCUCGUUAAUGAGUGACGGCGUGCCUUUUGCAUAAUGAACCUACGAGUUGCCUUUGCCGGCAAGGUUAAGUGUGACGACACACGUAUCCGAAGCGAAAGCGAGUCUGAACAGGGCGUAUAGUCGGCAGUGGCAGACGCGAAACCAAGUGAUCUACCCUUGGCCAGGUUGAAGGCUGGGUAACACCAGCUGGAGGACCGCACCAAUAAGCGUUGAAAAGCUUCUGGAUGAGCUGAGGGUAGGGGUGAAAGGCUAAUCAAACUUGGAGAUAGCUCGUACUCCCCGAAAUGCAUUUAGGUGCAGCCUUGCGGGUUACUGAUGUGAGGUAGAGCGACUGAUAAGAUGCGAGGGCUUCACCGCCUAUCAAGUCUUGACAAACUCCGAAUGCGCAUCAGUUCUACCGCAGGAGUGAGGGCAUGGGUGCUAAGGUCCGUGCCCGAGAGGAGAAGAAUCCGGACCACCUGCUAAGGUCCCGAAAUGACAGCUAAGUUAAACUAACGAAGUCUGACUGCUAAGACAGCUAGGAUGUUGGCUUGGAAGCAGCCAUUCAUUUAAAGAGUGCGUAACAGCUCACUAGUCGAGGAGUCGGGCGUGGAUAAUAAUCGGGUAUGAAGUUGUCUACCGAAGCAGUGGGAUCAUUAAUAUGAUCGGUAGGGGAGCAUUCCAGUCAGCGUCGAAGGCGUACCGUGAGGUAUUCUGGAGCGUCUGGAAAAGCAAAUGUAGGUAUAAGUAACGAUAAAGGGGGCGGGAAACCCCCUCGCCGAAAGACUAAGGUUUCCUGAUCAACGCUAAUCGGAUCAGGGUCAGUCGGGUCCUAAGGCUCAGCCGAACGGCGAUGCCGAUGGCAGAAACGGUUAAUAUUCCGUUACUACCUUCAGGAGUGACGUGGAGACGCAGUAGUGACAGUGCCGCCAUCUGACGGAAUAGAUGGUUGAAGGGUGUAGGAGUCGAUCAUGGCAGGCAAAUCCACCAUGAGAUCCGAACCUGAUAGUAUGCCGCGUCCUUCGGGACAAGGCAAUAGUGCGCGUAAGCAUGCUGCCGAGAAAAUCCGCUAAACUUAAUCCUGCAGGUACCCGUACCGCAAACGGACACACGUAGUCGGGAUGAAUAUUCUAAGGCGCUUGAGUGAUUCACGGUUAAGGAACUAGGCAAACUGACCCUGUAACUUCGGGAUAAAGGGUCCCUACCCUUUUAUGGGAGGGCGCAGAGAAUCGGUCCAGGCAACUGUUUAACAAAAACACAGGGCUGUGCCAAAUCGAAAGAUCCAGUAUACAGCCUGACACCUGCCCGGUGCUGGAAGGUUAAGAGGAGAUGUCAUCGAUAAGAGAAGCGUUGAAUUGAAGCCCCAGUAAACGGCGGCCGUAACUAUAACGGUCCUAAGGUAGCGAAAUUCCUUGUCGGGUAAGUUCCGACCUGCACGAAUGGUGUAAUGAUCUGGACGCUGUCUCAACCGUGAGCUCAGUGAAAUUGUAGUAUCGGUGAAGAUGCCGAUUACCCGCGAUGGGACGAAAAGACCCCGUGAACCUUUACUAUAGCUUAUCAUUGAAUCUGGGCACGUGAUGUGUAGGAUAGGUCGGAGGCUUUGAAGCAGGUACGCCAGUAUUUGUGGAGCCGCUGUUGAAAUACGACCCUUUAUUUGUUUGGAUUCUAACCCGUGGAACGGGGACAUUGAUUGGUGGGUAGUUUGACUGGGGUGGUCGCCUCCAAAAGCGUAACGGAGGCUUCUAAAGGUGCCCUCCGGCCGAUUGGUAACCGGCCUUAGAGUGUAAUGGCAUAAGGGCGCUUGACUGGGAGACUAACAAGUCGAUCAGGUAGGAAACUAGAGCAUAGUGAUCCGGUGUUUCCGUAUGGAAGGGACAUCGCUCAAAGGAUAAAAGGUACUCCGGGGAUAACAGGCUGAUCCCUCCCAAGAGCUCAUAUCGACGGAGUGGUUUGGCACCUCGAUGUCGGCUCGUCACAUCCUGGGGCUGGAGAAGGUCCCAAGGGUUGGGCUGUUCGCCCAUUAAAGUGGCACGCGAGCUGGGUUCAGAACGUCGUGAGACAGUUCGGUCUCUAUCUAUCGUGGGCGUAUGAAAUUUGCGUGGCUCUGACACUAGUACGAGAGGACCGUGUUGGACAGACCUCUGGUUUGCCGGUUGUGCCGCCAGGUGCAUUGCCGGGUAUCUAAGUCUGGAUCGGAUAAGUGCUGAAAGCAUCUAAGUACGAAGCCGGCCACAAGAUUAGAUUUCUCAGGGUCGUUGUAGACUACGACGUUGAUAGGAUGCAGGUGUAAAGGUAGAGAUACCAAAGCCGAGCAUUACUAAUUGCCCGUUCACUUUCCU